RNA transcript from Vitis riparia (riverbank grape), 2529 nucleotides. It is a transcript of the gene named thymidine kinase a-like, with no coding region annotated. Lineage: Eukaryota; Viridiplantae; Streptophyta; Magnoliopsida; Vitales; Vitaceae. The record is from RefSeq and is a predicted model, not a curated record. The transcript is spliced from 3 exons.
GACAUGCGGGUCCAUCCAUGCUUCAAAGAUGGCCCUUGAUCUUGUCCAGAGGAUUUUGAUUUUAUUAAAUGGGUAAUCAGAAGGCGGGGUGAGAUUUCGACGGUCCUGAUCAUGCAUGUGCAGUGUAAAAGCCUGGGCCGCGUGUACAUGACUUUUUGGGUGAGGGUUUACACUGAUAUCUGACCUGGUUUUCCCUCCAAACAAAACCCUUGAACAGUGGUUCCGCCAAAUUUUCCUUCGUUUUUUCCUCCGAGCCGAACAGAACCCUAAACCCAAGAUUGACACAAACUGUAACACAUGUUAAGAAUGAAAUCGCUUCUUUCUCCAAGUUUCUCAACCCUCUCUCCACAUCUCACCAAAACCACUCCUUUCUCUCUAUAUUUUCUGGCUUCAAAAUCCAUUCUCUGCAACUCCCAAAUUCUCAAAAACCCUGACUGUCUCCACAUAAAAUCCACAAUAUCUUCCAUGAAACCCUUAAUGUCUUCAAACUCCAUUCAAAGCCGUAGGGUUCAGAUUGAGGCGUCCCAGUCGUCUUCCGGAGAAAUUCACGUGAUUGUCGGGCCCAUGUUUGCCGGCAAGACCACCACUCUCCUUCGGCGAAUCCAAUCCGAAACCAGUAAUGGCAGUUUUCAGGUGAAGCCCCCAAGAAACUCCUUCCAUUUGGAUGAAACAUUAAAAGGUCUUUGUUUUUCUGGAAGAGUGAUGGAAGCAGUUGGGCUAUUGUGUCAAACAGGAUUGCAAGUUGAACCUGCAACAUAUGCUCUUCUAUUGCAAGAAUGCAUAUUCAAGAAAGAAUUUAAGACAGGAAGAAGAAUCCAUGCACAAAUGAUUGUUGUUGGAUAUUAUCCUGAUGAAUAUCUUAAGACUAAGUUAUUGAUUUUACAUGCAAAAACAGGGGAUCUAGACACUUCCCACAUUCUUUUUGAUGAUUUGUCAAAGAAAAGCUUGAUUUCAUGGAAUGCAAUGAUUGCUGGAUAUGUGCAAAAGGGCCUUGAAGAGGAGGGCUUGAAUCUUUAUGAUGAGAUGAGGCAAAGUGGUUUAACACCGGACCAAUACACAUUUGCAUCAGUAUUCAGAGCCUGUGCUACUUUAGCGACCCUUGAAAAGGGUAAGCAAGCCCAUUGUGUCAUGAUAAAGAGCCAAAUUAAAGAAAAUGUUGUAGUUAAUAGUGCCCUCAUGGAUAUGUACUUUAAAUGCAGCAGCCUCUAUGAUGGGCAUCGGGUAUUCAAUAAAUCAUUGAAUAGGAAUGUUAUCACUUGGACGGCUUUGAUAUCUGGGUAUGGUCAACAUGGAAGAGUUGCAGAGGUUUUGGUGUUUUUUAGUAAGAUGAAAACUGAAGGUUUUAGGCCAAAUUAUGUUACUUUUCUGGCAGUGAUUUCUGCUUGUAGUCAUGGAGGUCUGGUCAAUGAAGGUUGGGAAUAUUUCAUGUCAAUGACGAGAGAUUAUGGUAUUCAGCCCAGAGGGCAACAUUAUGCUGCCAUGGUUGACCUUUUAGGACGCGCUGGGAGGUUACACGAGGCUUUUGAGUUUGUUCAGAACUCACCUUGUGGGGAACACUCAGUGAUAUGGGGUGCUCUGCUUGGGGCAUGUAGGGUGCAUGGAAACAUAGACAUGUUGAGGUUUGCAGCAAAGAAAUAUUUUGAUUUGGAGCCAGAAAAUGCUGGAAAGUAUGUUGUCUUGUCUAAUGCUUAUGCCACUUUUGGAUUGUGGGACAAUGUUGCUGAGGUUAGAGGAGUGAUGAGGGAAUCAGGGAUGAGAAAGGAUCCUGGAUAUAGCAGGAUUGAGGUCCAAAGGGAGGUGCACUUCUUCCUUAUGGGGGAUAAAUCCCACAACCAGACUGAGCAGAUAUAUGAGGUGAUCAAAGAAGUGACUUGCAUUCUGAAAGAUGCUGGCUAUGUUCCUGAUUUAAGUGGCUGCUAAUUCUUUUUCCAGAAAGUGGCUCAUAUUUGUGAUAUUUUUCAUUUAUUGAAAAUUUUGUGCAAGUCUUGGAUUUGUUAAACUUCAAUUUUAAUGUUGCUGACAGAAAGAGAAAAUCUGCUUUAACUAUAAAUAUGUGCCAGAAAUAUCGCAGAAAAAUACAUGCCAUGGGCAUAUGAAUGCUUCAAGCUAAGUCCCCCCUUUGCCUUGUAUUCCAAGCACUGAAGGCAUCAUAAGCAAGAAAGGUAAAAAGUUUUCCAACUAGAGUUGUUGGACUAUCUUCUAGGGUGACAGCAAGAUUCUAGUUCAGGAAUAGUGACUCAAUUGGGCUGGUUGCAAUCUAUUCUUUCCCAUACGUUGGGCUUUGCAUGGAUUAUAAUAUUGUUGGGGUGAUGGGAAACUUACAGUGUAUCACUAAAUAGAUGGCUGCUCCAAGUUGAAGUUUGAAGAAUGUGCAUUAAGCUUUGUAUCUGCAUCUGUUGCCAGGCUGUUGAUCAGAUGUUUAGAAGGCAGGUAAUGUUUCAUUUUCAGAAAGGUAGCAAUAAUAAAAUCAAACAAGGACACAAGAUAUGGAUUGGAUUCCAUUGUGACUCAUGAUGGAGUGAAGUUGCC